CUCCGAUGCUUGUUGUCAUCUGUUUACUCCUAUGUAAUCACUUAAGUUGUUAUUAACUGCUGCAUGCUAAGCUGCAAGAGUGCACUGAGGACUGAGACAAAAUAUGGUCUACAAACCAGCAUUAUAUUAGUUUUUAUCAGAUAGUCCUCCAGUGUGUUUAAUUUUUGCUUUAAUUCUAUUGUGCAGUUAUUUGUUACCCUGAAAUGCUUUAUGCUUAACAACAGCUCACUAUUUUGACUUAUUUUUGAACUCUUGUGAUCAGUAUGACUAGAUUGUGUGAGUUUCCAUACUAAAAGAGCUGUAGUGAUAAAAUAACUGGCAUCAGAGACACUGGUUUUUGGCAUGGUAUACUGCAGAAGUUUUUUUUUUUUGCAUAAUUUACCUUUUAAUUAAACUGCAUUCUCUGUAUUGUAACAAAACUAACAUUGUUUAUAUGUCAGAAAAUUAGCAAACAUGAAUAAAUGGCAAAAACAAUAUAAUUAUAACAUAUAUUUUUAUUUUACUUAUUUUAGGUCUGUGAAGCCAAACUUGAUGCUGGGGAUUUAUUUUUGUCAGUGGAGUCAAAUGGUUGAAGCAGAAUUUGCCCGUCUUACAUCUGUUGACCUGAAAGGGUUCCUUUUUGCUGUGCUUGACCAUUAUGGAGAGGUUCGUGGAGCUGUACAAAAUCAAGAGCGGCAUAGGAGGGCUAACUAGGCUCAUAAGAUGCUUCGGAGAUGAUAGCCCUACACAAAGGAAGAGGACAGAGGGCCUCAUUUUCUAAAGGAAGAGCCCUCACACACUUUCAAGACUGUGAAGCCGACAGGUAUUGAAGACACGUUUUCUAAGAGGAUGAAAGUUGGCAUUGUGAUGGUGAAAGAAGAAGACAUCAUCGAUGUGUUGGUCGUCCCUGAGGCGGCAGUAAUCCUGUCUAAUCUGAGGGAUGUCUCAAGUGCCAUUUCCAUGCUGAUGGGCCUUCUUUU
This is a long non-coding RNA of Oreochromis aureus, 959 nucleotides long. Lineage: Eukaryota; Metazoa; Chordata; Actinopteri; Cichliformes; Cichlidae. The record is from Ensembl.